AGCAAAGUGUGUAUAGUUUAAUCAAAACAUUAAGCUGUGGACUUAAAAACAAAGACUUUCAAACCUUUUACUCACC
RNAcentral lists this transfer RNA (76 nucleotides) under Hemidactylus frenatus (common house gecko). RNAcentral's name for it is "tRNA-His". It matches the Rfam family "tRNA". From Rfam's summary of the family: Transfer RNA (tRNA) molecules are approximately 80 nucleotides in length. Their secondary structure includes four short double-helical elements and three loops (D, anti-codon, and T loops). Further hydrogen bonds mediate the characteristic L-shaped molecular structure. tRNAs have two regions of fundamental functional importance: the anti-codon, which is responsible for specific mRNA codon recognition, and the 3' end, to which the tRNAs corresponding amino acid is attached (by aminoacyl-tRNA synthetases). tRNAs cope with the degeneracy of the genetic code in two manners: having more than one tRNA (with a specific anti-codon) for a particular amino acid; and 'wobble' base-pairing, i.e. permitting non-standard base-pairing at the 3rd anti-codon position. Lineage: Eukaryota; Metazoa; Chordata; Lepidosauria; Squamata; Gekkonidae. The record is from RNAcentral.